AAUCUUUUAAUUUUAAAAAAAUAAAAAAUAAUAAUUUCUCUUGGUAAGACAAUUUUUUAUUUAUUCAAGUUUUGUUUAUGCAAUUUUAAUUAUCAAGAAUUUCUAUUUACUAGAAGUUCUAUUAAUUAAAGAAAAAGGUUUUUAUUAAUAAAAGAUAGUAAAAUAUUUAUUUCAUAGAAAAUUAAAAGAAAUUUUGUAUUUACUGAUAAAUAGAAAAUGAAAAGUAAUUCUAACAAACAAAAAAAACAAAUAAUAUUUGGAUACUGAACACUUCACCACAAAAUCAAAACUUACUCAAAACACUUAAUGUGGAACACUUAACCCCAAAUUUAAAACCCUCUGCCGCCACUGAAUCUGCAACACCUUCAGCAACCAUAAUCUUCGCCACAAAUCUGGUCGAC
Molecule: long non-coding RNA, 401 nt
Filed under: Salvia miltiorrhiza (redroot sage)
Lineage: Eukaryota; Viridiplantae; Streptophyta; Magnoliopsida; Lamiales; Lamiaceae
Description: long non-coding RNA (SMIL_LNC010796)
Source: RNAcentral